RNAcentral lists this ribosomal RNA (1343 nucleotides) under uncultured bacterium. Its description in RNAcentral is "16S ribosomal RNA". It matches the Rfam family "Bacterial small subunit ribosomal RNA", at positions 28 to 1378 of the family's 1533-position model. The record is from RNAcentral.
GACGAACGCUGGCGGCGUGCUUAACACAUGCAAGUCGAACGGAAAGGCCCUGCUUUUGUGGGGUGCUCGAGUGGCGAACGGGUGAGUAACACGUGAGUAACCUGCCCUUGACUUUGGGAUAACUUCAGGAAACUGGGGCUAAUACCGGAUAGGAGCUCCUGCUGCAUGGUGGGGGUUGGAAAGUUUCGGCGGUUGGGGAUGGACUCGCGGCUUAUCAGCUUGUUGGUGGGGUAGUGGCUUACCAAGGCUUUGACGGGUAGCCGGCCUGAGAGGGUGACCGGCCACAUUGGGACUGAGAUACGGACCAGACUCCUACGGGAGGCAGCAGUGGGGAAUAUUGCACAAUGGGCGGAAGCCUGAUGCAGCAACGCCGCGUGCGGGAUGACGGCCUUCGGGUUGUAAACCGCUUUCGCCUGUGACGAAGCGUGAGUGACGGUAAUGGGUAAAGAAGCACCGGCUAACUACGUGCCAGCAGCCGCGGUGAUACGUAGGGUGCGAGCGUUGUCCGGAUUUAUUGGGCGUAAAGGGCUCGUAGGUGGUUGAUCGCGUCGGAAGUGUAAUCUUGGGGCUUAACCCUGAGCGUGCUUUCGAUACGGGUUGACUUGAGGAAGGUAGGGGAGAAUGGAAUUCCUGGUGGAGCGGUGGAAUGCGCAGAUAUCAGGAGGAACACCAGUGGCGAAGGCGGUUCUCUGGGCCUUUCCUGACGCUGAGGAGCGAAAGCGUGGGGAGCGAACAGGCUUAGAUACCCUGGUAGUCCACGCUGUAAACGGUGGGUACUAGGUGUGGGGUCCAUUCCACGGGUUCCGUGCCGUAGCUAACGCUUUAAGUACCCCGCCUGGGGAGUACGGCCGCAAGGCUAAAACUCAAAGGAAUUGACGGGGCCCCGCACAAGCGGCGGAGCAUGCGGAUUAAUUCGAUGCAACGCGUAGAACCUUACCUGGGUUUGACAUGGAUCGGGAGUGCUCAGAGAUGGGUGUGCCUCUUUUGGGGUCGGUUCACAGGUGGUGCAUGCCUGUCGUCAGCUCGUGUCGUGAGAUGUUGGGUUAAGUCCCGCAACGAGCGCAACCCUUGUUCACUGUUGCCAGCACGUUAUGGUGGGGACUCAGUGGAGACCGCCGGGGUCAACUCGGAGGAAGGUGGGGAUGACGUCAAGUCAUCAUGCCCCUUAUGUCCAGGGCUUCACGCAUGCUACAAUGGCUGGUACAGAGAGUGGCGAGCCUGUGAGGGUGAGCGAAUCUCGGAAAGCCGGUCUCAGUUCGGAUUGGGGUCUGCAACUCGACCUCAUGAAGUCGGAGUCGCUAGUAAUCGCAGAUCAGCAACGCUGCGGUGAAUACGUUCCCGGG